Molecule: long non-coding RNA, 2045 nt
Filed under: Fragaria vesca (wild strawberry)
Lineage: Eukaryota; Viridiplantae; Streptophyta; Magnoliopsida; Rosales; Rosaceae
Description: long non-coding RNA (FVES_LNC003969)
Source: RNAcentral
UAACGUUAUUAAAUGUUUUCCCCUGGGCCCUUCGUUUUAAAUUGCCCAGUCUGCAGAGUUCGGGUUGGAUCUAGUAGGAGACGAGGCAUAGUCACCCGCUUUUCGGCCAGUUUUCAUCAGUAGGUUACCUGUUCAACCUACUUGUGUUUUCUUGCUUCCGCUUGUGUUUAGUAGCUCUGAAUACUUUAGAAUUUUGUAUAUUAUGUGAUAUUCAGAAGCGUUAAAUUAAGAGUGUAAUAUGAAAUUUUCGAGUUAGGGUUGUCCAUCUGCAAGGGAGAUUUUCUUAAUCUUUUCAGUAAAUUUUCCUUGGAGGUGGUCCCCGCACGACUUACUCUGGGUUUCAGGGUGAAAUUCGGGGUGGGUCGUGUCACUGGGAGCCAAGGGCGAGGGUCAGAGAGGAGGUUGAGGACGGGAGAGGGCGCGGGUCUGGGAGCGGAGGGCGCGGAGCAGAUGCAGAUUUGGGAGAUGAAGGAGGAGGAGGCGUAGAGAGGUUAGUGAGAUUAGUGAGGUCUUAUCUAAGGUAGGAUUUUCGGAGUACCCACGAUAACACCGGUUAAGGAGGAGAAAUCAGAAAACCGGUCCAAGUUAAGCCCAUUAAUGUUAGUACCGAGAGAGACCAAACGUGGGAUUAGCUUUGUUUCAUUCCUUAUUUAAGACUGGCUUAGGUAGUACCGGGUACCAAACGUACCCUAUAUUUCUCUUGCGCUCUUUCCUAGUUGGAGUCGGAGACCACCAUCACAUGGGAAGACAGGGAAGUCCCUACUCUUAUCACAUGGGAAACUUGACGUCAUAGAGGGAGGGAGGGAGAGGCAAUCACAUGAUUAUCAUCUAGGAAUUCACUUUCAUUAGGGACUUUCGUAUUGUAAGGCAUCUUUAGACUUGAUGUUGAUUUCCUGCCACCUUGCAUAUGGGGGCAUGAUGGGGCUAAUUAUUUUGUUCAUUCACCCAUGUUUACACUAGAUCCAGAUCCUCUCCUCAUAAUUCUCUGCUAAUACUUCCUCAUAAAUGAAUCUGGACCAUCCAAUUUUAAUGGAUGGCCAGGAUUUCUCUUGCUUUGUUUGUAGAGAUAUUUUCGUCUAUCCCGUUCUCUUCCUCCUUAUCUCAAAUUCUCCAUUCUCAAACCCCUUUCUCAAAUUUCACUCACACGGUCACAUUCACACCUUUGAUCUGUCUCUCAUCUCUCUCUUCUCUCUCUUUCGAAUUCUCUCCAUGGGAGAGCGCAACGGUGGUAGUAAUGAUAAAGUUUUCAAUAUAAUGGCAUCUCAGACGUCUCGACGACCAGAACCGGUCAUAAUUGAUUUGAGGAGAAGGGAGAUUUGAGGACCAGAGUAGACCUCAGGGCGUCUUCGGAGAAGAGUGAACGCAGAUUUGAGUUGCAUGUGUCAGGAAUCGAAGGAUCAGACCGGGGGUCGGUGCGUGUCUGGAAUCGGUAAUUGUCUGGAUUGAGUUCAUGUUUCUGUAAAGCUGCUAGAUCAGGUUUUCGACUCCGGAUUCGAUCGAUGUCGGUGUUGGAAGUAGUUCAACCGGAUGAAGACUGUGAUUGCUCUUAGGAAAAGGACUUGAAUUUGAUUGCCUUAGACCAGAGAACAUCAAUCUUACUCUAAACACCACUAAAGGGACACUUUUUGUAGAUGAUUCACAAAUGUUAAUGAAGAUGAAUUCUGGGUUGAUAUUGGUAUUGGAGACGAUACCAAAAUGAAGAUAGUUAAUUAGUUAUAUCUGUUCAGCCUUUGAUCAGUAUCCUUCAUCUCUCCAAGAUGACUGUUCAAUUUGAUAAAGAACGACUUGGCUAUAAAAUAUUUUCUUUAUAGUUUUAAUUCUCAUUCUCAUAUAACAGUUUUUUCUUCAUCACAAAUCAUAUAUGGCUUCAGUUGCAGCGUAUUAACAAGUUGGGAUCUCUAAUAACCUCUAAUAACACGAUUUUCUCAUUUCCAUAACACCACAAGAACCGGUCUUUCUCAUGACACAUAAACCCAGUAGACAAAGAACAUAGCUUUUUCCAUUGAGAGACAAACAUAUGUUCCUCGAGACCCAUCCCAGCAUUC